This is a long non-coding RNA of Acipenser ruthenus (sterlet), 924 nucleotides long. RefSeq lists it as uncharacterized. Lineage: Eukaryota; Metazoa; Chordata; Actinopteri; Acipenseriformes; Acipenseridae. The transcript has 4 exons. The record is from RefSeq and is a predicted model, not a curated record.
UACAAAGUUUUUGAGCCAAUGAGGAGCCAACAUCACAUUAUAUUAAUUCUUGUCACCCACCUAGUAGCGCCUCUACAGAAUACAGUAGACCAGUAGCAUCGAUUAAUACUUGAGCUGUCUUUCCCCAGGUUUUACAUCCUCACAUUGACCCACACUCAAUACUGCUGGUCCAGCUGUUUAGUCAAAAUGCUGUUUAUACCCCUGAUCCAAGCAGUCAGCGUCAGGGAAGCGUUACUUCCCACUCCGGAGGGCAACCAGACCCUGAUGCCCUGUCACCGCUAGGAUGGGCAGCUCUUCCACUGUUCCAAGGUGCCUAUGCAUGCACAGGGGUGCACCAUACACCUUUGUUUGAAGGAACUCCAGAUGCUGCAUUUCUAGGGUCUGUAUCCUCCUGCCCUGUGAAAAAUGCCCACGCAAAAGGCCUGAAGUGAAAGAGCCAGAAGCUGCUGAAGAAUUUUGUUAGCCUGGCUGUCAAGGUGUGGGACGGACAUUACUUUGAUGAUGAGCGCCAUGAUUUGCCUGUUAUCGACGAACUGUGGGCAAUAUGAAGAAGUUUCAGAAAACGCAGGCAAGCAAGUCAGGAAAAGAUAUGUCCCAGCUGGUUCUGCAGUCUUUUGAUCGCAAGAUCAGGAAGCAGUGACGGAACAGCGCGGAGUAUCAACGCGAAGAACACUUUUAUGAGGCUGCAAUGGCAGAUGCAUUCUACACACUAAUGGUCAGUAUUACAAAUUCACAGAGAAUCGGAGUAUGGAUCACUGAACUCCUAUUGGAGAGCAUUCUGUUAACAAAUACACAAAUAAUUUAUGACUUCAUCAGUCCUAUGACACUUAUCAAUCAAACCAUGCAAAGGAAGACAUGCCUCAAACGCAACUGUAAUGUCUUAAUUCAGAAUGGUCUAAAUAAUGCCUUAUUUGAAGAGGCAGU